GUAGGUGGGCAAGCGUUGUCCCGGGAAUUAUUGGGGCGUAAAAGCGCGCGCAGGGCGGUUCUUUAAGUCUGAUGUGAAAGCCCACGGCUCAACCGUGGAGGGUCAUUGGAAACUGGAGAACUUGAGUACAGAAGAGGAAAGCGGAAUUCCACGUGUAGCGGUGAAAUGCGUAGAGAUGUGGAGGAACACCAGUGGCGAAGGCGGCUUUCUGGUCUGUAACUGACGCUGAGGCGCGAAAGCGUGGGGAGCAAACAGGAUUAGAUACCCUGGUAGUCCACGCCGUAAACGAUGAGUGCUAAGUGUUAGGGGGUUUCCGCCCCUUAGUGCUGCAGCUAACGCAUUAAGCACUCCGCCUGGGGAGUACGACCGCAAGGUU
Molecule: ribosomal RNA, 376 nt
Filed under: uncultured organism
Description: partial 16S ribosomal RNA
Rfam family: Bacterial small subunit ribosomal RNA
Source: RNAcentral